Molecule: long non-coding RNA, 312 nt
Filed under: Lathyrus oleraceus (garden pea)
Lineage: Eukaryota; Viridiplantae; Streptophyta; Magnoliopsida; Fabales; Fabaceae
Description: Pisum sativum (pea) long non-coding RNA (PSAT_LNC004463)
Source: RNAcentral
AUCCUUGAAUUUAUGAGUUGUAAUAUAGGUACAGAAAGCAAUAGUAUGAACAUGCUUCAAUAGUUCAAUUGACCACCUAAAGUACAAAGGGACUUCUCCUUAUCCAAAUUGCUCAAUAAUACACAAAAUUCAAUUAUUGUUACAUUAGUUACAAUGUGGGAUUCCAAAAGAAUGUGUAUCUAGUAACUAGUGAAUUAUCUAUGUGCUUGCUAAAGGACAAUAAGGGUCAUUACCCGUUUUGAACGAAUUUUGGUGUGUUUAAGGGAUAUGGAAGAUUUUUAUAUGGAAGUUGUAAAAAUCUCUCUCUCUCUC